ACGAACCAUUUCUCUCUCAAAAUCAUAUCAUCAUCUCUAUCAAAUGAUUCUUUUCUCAUUAAUAUUCAUCUCUCAAUUUUCCCUUCGUCACUCAAUUAUACUUUCUCUCUCAAAGUUUUCCUUUUUGGUUGAUUUUGUUUUGGCACGAAAAGGUGUAACAAGGAAGCAAAAGAAGCUCCGAGGGCGAGGACCAUUGUAUGGUUUUCUUGAGUUUUAUUGGAGUAAUGCAAAAGAUGACAUGGUAGGAUAAUACAUGUAGGGCACGACGACAGAACACCAAGUCAUGAUAUGGUUUGUGAUCAGCAACAUGAUCAAUCGCUUGAUUCAAACGGAGAGUAACCCAUACAUCAGGAGGUGGAGCAGCCUGCACAUGUGGCGGUGGAGCAGAUCAUAUAUCAGGAGGUGGAGUAGCUCAUAGAUGGGGUAUAGGGGAGGACCGUAUGACUUGUCUCCUCACAUAGCAUGAAGACCUCAUUUUUCGAACUGUGGUAGAUAUUGAUGGAGUACUUGAAAGGUGAUCCUAUGUUUACCGGUAAGUAACUUGGAGAAUGUGUGACACUUAUGUAGGUAUUUUUAUAAUAAUGUUAGAGACAACAUAUUAUUUUUGUUUUGAUAUUUAUUAUUAUAAUAAUUUAUCAUGGUUUCAAUUUAUUAUUAUAGUUUUGAUUUAUUAUUAUUUCUAUUUUUUUAUUUUGUAACACUGUUGGAUUCUUGAUUAUUUUUUUACUCUUUGUAAUCGACCACAAAUCUGGAUUUUCUGAGAUGAGCCAGGAAGAGGUGUUGCUCGAGCUAUGUGAUGGAAUUAUAAACAGGAGACUCUCAAAGUUCAUAAGAUACAUAGGGUGAUAGAUGACAUGCCUGACACCUAUAAAUGUCAUAUGGCAUCCAUUUGAGUAUUAAUGUCAGGUAAUCCCACUUGAUAAUAUGUCUUUACGGUGGUUGUCGUCUUUGAUGGUGCAACAAAGUAGUUUCUUACUGAGAGGUGCCUCCGACAUGUUGGAUACAUAAAUAUAUACCACCACCACCUUCAUAUGGCCAUACCUUUGAUGUAGAUACCGAGCAAAUUGAUUACUAUUUUAGUGUGCAUUGAGUCAUUGGAAGAGUACUUUUGAUGACAUAUCCAUUUGAGGCCACCUGGACAUACAUGGAGUGGUACUACAAAGUAUCAUAUCCUUGUUUGAUAUGCCUUGCUGAGGUAUGUAUAGACUAGUCUCUAUUCCAACGUAUAAAGUCCCAACUGAUGCAUGGUCUUCUUAUUUGAGAUCCUUUUGAUUGCUUUAGAGCUACAAGGUUACUUAGACGAGUUUGGGGAGAUGCCAAAGGAACCCAUGUUUAGGGGUUUGUGUGAGCAUUAGACUUACUCAUUGUGGACAUUUAGAUUAGUUAUCUUAUCUUAUUUAUCUUAAAGCUCAAUACAAAUGCCUAAACACGAGUUCUUUUGCAUUCCCGUGAACUCUUCUAUGUGACCAUGUAGCUUGGAAGAAAUUGAAGACAAUCUCGAAUUAAAAGGUCUACGUCAUUGGAGACUUUGUACGCUAUAACAGAGACUAGUCUAUUGGAUCCUCAGUAGGGCAUAUCAAACCAGGUUGUGAUGCUUUGUCAUAUCAAUCUAUCUAUGUUUUUUGUGACCUUAAAUUAAUAUGUCACCAGAAGUGAUCCUUCAACGAAUCGAUGCACACUAGAAUGGUAAUCAAUCCACUUGACAUCUACAUCAAAGGUAUGAAAAUCUAAAGGUGGUGGUGGUAUAUAUCUUCUAUGUCCAAACUGUCGAAGGCAACUCUCAGGCAAGUAAGGAACUACUAUGUCGCACCACCAAAGACAACCAACGUAAAUACAUGUAUCAUCAAAUGAGAUUAUCUGACAAUGACUCUCAAAUGAAUGUCAUAUGACAUCUAUGAGUUUCUAAACAUCUAUCAACCUCUGUAUCUAAUCAACCUUAAGAGCCCUCCGGUUAUACUUCCACCGCAUAGCUGGAGCAAAACCUCUUUAUGGCUCAUCACAUGAAAUCUAGAUUUUUGCUUGAUUAUGAAAAGUUAGAAAAUAUUUAUGAAUCCAACUGUGUUAUAUAAUAAAAGAAAAUAGAAAUAAUAAUAAAUGAAAACUAUAAUAAUAAGUUGAAACUAUAAAAAAAUUAUUAUAGUAAAAAUAAAUAAUUCAUCUAUAACAUAACUAUAAAAAUACCGGUAGAAGAAGAGUCACAUAUCCCCUGAGCUGCUUACAAAAGUAAAUAUAAAGCCAUAUCUCAGGUACUUGCACAAUGUAACUGAAGCAACGAUACCCCAAUUGGAGAAAUUCCUAAAAAACAGUACAAUAUAUAUUUUGCCUCUACAAGAGUAAGUAAAAUUCUUACCUGUAGAAACAGUACACCCAAAUAGCAACAACAUAUGUAUAACCUAGCAACACAGUCAAGCAUUCCAAUUUGAGGAUACCUAUCAAACAAAGUGUAUAACAAGUGCAAUAAUUCCAUCUUCAUUUACAAC
Medicago truncatula (barrel medic) is the source of this 2480-nucleotide long non-coding RNA. RefSeq lists it as uncharacterized. Lineage: Eukaryota; Viridiplantae; Streptophyta; Magnoliopsida; Fabales; Fabaceae. The transcript has 2 exons. The record is from RefSeq and is a predicted model, not a curated record.